Molecule: ribosomal RNA, 253 nt
Filed under: uncultured bacterium
Lineage: Bacteria
Description: partial 16S ribosomal RNA
Rfam family: Bacterial small subunit ribosomal RNA
Source: RNAcentral
UACGUAGGGUGCGAGCGUUGCCCGGAUUUAUUGGGCGUAAAGGGCGCGCAGGCGGCCACGCACGUCCGUUGUGAAAUCGCUCGGCUCAACUGGGCGGGGUCAGCGGAUACGGCGUAGCUGGAGCAAGCUAGGGGGCAAUGGAAUUCCCGGUGUAGUGGUGGAAUGCGUAGAUAUCGGGAGGAACACCAGUGGCGAAGGCGGUUGCCUGGAGCUUUGCUGACGCUGAGACGCGAAAGCGUGGGGAGCAAACAGG